Molecule: ribosomal RNA, 459 nt
Filed under: uncultured bacterium
Lineage: Bacteria
Description: partial 16S ribosomal RNA
Rfam family: Bacterial small subunit ribosomal RNA
Source: RNAcentral
CUACGGGAGGCUGCAGUAAGGAAUAUUGCGCAAUGGAGGCAACUCUGACGCAGCCAUGCCGCGUGCAGGAAGAAGGCCUUAUGGGUCGUAAACUGCUUUUAUUUAGGAAUAAACCCCCGAACGUGUUCGGGGCUGAAGGUACUAAACGAAUAAGCACCGGCUAACUCCGUGCCAGCAGCCGCGGUAAUACGGAGGGUGCAAGCGUUAUCCGGAUUUAUUGGGUUUAAAGGGUGCGCAGGCGGGCUAUUAAGUCAGUGGUGAAAUCCCGGGGCUCAACUCCGGAACUGCCAUUGAUACUGAUAGUCUUGAGUUUGGUUGAAGUGGGCGGAAUGUAGCAUGUAGCGGUGAAAUGCAUAGAUAUGCUACAGAACACCAAUCGCGAAGGCAGCUCACUAAGCCAAAACUGACGCUCAUGCACGAAAGCGUGGGGAUCAAACAGGAUUAGAUACCCUGGUAGUC